UUGUCUGAGGGGCGACGUAGGUCGGUCGAGAGGCCGUCCAGGCUCUGCCCGGCUGCGAGGGAGGUGAAGGCCUUGGUCUGAGCUGGUGACAUCAGCAGAGGGAGGAGUCCCAGGAUCUGUGAGGAGUCAAGAUAAGUGUCUCAGGGAGGUGAAGGCCUUGGUCUGAGUGUGAAGGCAGGUUAGCUGAGGGAGCCACAUCAGGUCAGAAGAGGGUGGAGUCCCAAGCUCUACCAGGUGUCAAGGUUCCUAGGGGACAAACUGUCCAGGAAGACAGGAGCUCUGUGAGGCCCUAGAGCACCCCAUAAAGAGGAGACCUGCCCGUGGGAUCCCAUCUGCCACCAUCCUGCUCACACUUCCACCUGCUGCCUCCAACAAGAGUCAUCAUGUCUCACUCUCCAAAGCGUCCAUGCCUCACAUUUGAGCCAGACUUUUGGGCC
Molecule: long non-coding RNA, 437 nt
Organism: Diceros bicornis minor
Lineage: Eukaryota; Metazoa; Chordata; Mammalia; Perissodactyla; Rhinocerotidae
Exons: 5
Source: RefSeq, a predicted model, not a curated record